UGUUGUCGAGUUGUUGAAGGUGAAGGUGAUAUUCGUUGUUUGUGUUUUCUCAUACAAUUCGAUUUUCAAAAGAAGAACUCGAGUUAUAUUUACGGAAAAAUAAAGCAUUGCGGUUGAAUGUAGGCUUUGUGUAUUUCACGCGUGUGAAUUUGUGAUUUUUAGUUCUGUUUCUUCUUAAAGUUCAUGCUCCCAGAGUAACAGGGUCGAGUGGAAGAAUGUUGGAUCGCGAUACCGCGAUACAUCUCAUUGCUGGAGGAGUGGCUGGAACUACUGGUGCUAUAGUUACCUGUCCCUUAGAAGUGGUUAAAACACGUUUACAAUCUUCUUCUUCUGGAUUUUAUCCACCUCCGGUGAAUAAGGAACUUACUUCCGGUCAUGUCACAUGUAAAAGUUUUCCGAAACCGGAACAAAGGAGAAGGCUUUGCACUGGUGGCUAUACAAGGCAUGCUUUGAUUGCUCUCUCUCACUUUGGCGCGUUUGCUUCUUCAGGAGGUUCGCCUCACAGUCAUUCUGCGCCAGGUGUAUAUCAAUGUAUCAGAUAUAUCGUUCAAAACGAGGGUAUUCGUGCCCUGUUCAAAGGAUUGGGUCCUAACCUUGUAGGUGUUGCACCAUCCAGAGCAAUCUAUUUCUGCGCCUACUCAAAAAGCAAAGUCGCAUUUAACGCGAUCUUUGCCCCGGAUACCGCUCUUGUACACGUAUUCUCCGCAUUCUGCGCCGGUUUCGUGGCAUGCACAUUGACAAAUCCUAUUUGGUUCGUGAAGACCAGGCUGCAACUGGACCAUCGAACCAACAAAAUCACUGCGAUGGAGUGUAUGCAAAGGAUAUAUCGACAAUCGGGUAUCCUGGGAUUCUACAAAGGCAUUAUGGCCUCCUACAUAGGAAUAAGCGAGACUGUGAUACAUUUUGUGAUCUACGAGGCUGUGAAGGCCUCUUUAGCAACAUACAAGGCUCCCAAUGCAGAUCGAAAAACAUUGCGCGAUUUCUUAGAGUUCAUGGCGGCUGGCUCGUUCUCAAAAACGAUUGCCUCCACCAUCGCUUACCCCCAUGGCAUUGCUCAGCGAGUUGGCUGUGGUUCAAGAGUAAAGCAUCAGUUUGCACAAACUUCUUUACUUGCAAAAAUCUUUAUAAUUCUUGCAAACAUCCUGCACACUAAAGUAGCAAGGACGAGACUUAGAGAGGAAGGUACGAAAUAUCAGACUUUCUGGCAAACAUUGAGCACAGUCUACGCUGAAGAAGGAUUUCAUGGUCUAUACCGUGGUCUUGGUACUCAUCUGAUUAGACAAAUUCCAAAUACAGCAAUUAUUAUGGCUACGUAUGAAGCGGUGGUAUAUUUGCUAAGCAAGCACUUUCACGAACGAUCUUUAAGCAUAAACAAUGAAAGCGAGUCCAAGUUCUAUACAGAUCCAAAGGGUAAACGAGAAUUGGCCUAGGACUUACUCACGGCCCCUGAGUAAAGGGCCAAUAACUCGCAUGCUGUGGCGAGUCUUGAAAUUGCAUCUGUUUUGAAAAAAAGAAAAUGAACAAAGAACAACAACGCCGUCCAAGAGAGAGUCCACACGCCCGGAGAGAACGCAUUUCCGAGUUUGGGGCCAUGCCGGCCGGCCAGGUCCAAUCGAACAUGUCGAAGGUAGCGUACCUACGUACGCGAGGAACAGCCUAAACUGUCUGUCUGUACCUUCGUCGACACAUUCACACACACAUACACGGAGGCGAGGAUCGUGAAGCUGGAUUAAAUGAGUCAAUUACGUAGACUCAGAAUGCUCCAAAAGUAAGAUUAUGUCAGCUUCUCGUUACUAUUAAUCUGUUAACUGGUUUGUUAAUGAAAAAUUUGCAUAAAUAAUUUAUAUUAUUUUUUUGUAAAUCCGAUUCAAAGCAAAUUAAUUUGAUUUAUCUCUUGAAAAUUAAAAUUUGAUAAUGUAUUUUUUAUGAUUAAACUAAUUAAUUUAAAAAAUAUUUAAAAAAAUAAAUUCAAAAAUAUUGAUAAUAUUAUUUUUUCCAGUUAAUAGGUUAAUGGAAUCAUUGACAUUAUCAUUGGUAAUAACAGGUAUCAUGGGAGAUUCAUUUCAGGCGUCUUAAUUGUUUCUGAAGAUCUUCGAAACACGGGAAAAAAUGGAUUUUAAUUCUUAAAAACUUAUAAUAGAUUUAAUUUUUUACUAAUCGGUUAUUAUAUAUAAUAAUAUUGAUAUUCUAAUUUGAAUUUAAACAUUUAAAAUUCAUAUCUCCCUUGUUUCGAUAUGAUAGAAAUCAUUUUUCAUCAUUCAUUUUUAUACAGUAUUGCGAUUUCUUUAGAGCAAUAUGCACUUAUAUUAAUUAAAAAUUAUUGUUAAAUAUAAGAGAUAGGAUUGCUCUUGAAGAAUUCAUUAGAGAAUAUAUUCAUUUCUAUAUCAUUAAUAACAGAUACAUUUGAAUUUAAUGAUUAUUGAAAAAAUGCGAUCAUUGUCUUUUGCUAUUUCUUUUAACAAAAAGAAAAAUAGAAAAUAAUCAUUAUAAUUAUAAAUCUAUAUACAAAAUGAUGAAGGUGGACGAUUGUUAUGUUUAUUUCUAUUAGUAUAAGGAGAUGUAUUAUUAUCAUUAUUGUUGUUGUUCAUCAUUACAUAGAAUUUGUAUUUCAUAUUAAAUUUUAUUUUCGAAAAACGCUUCUUCCGUAAAACGCUCAAAAUCUAUGCAUUAUUGAUUGAAAUCUAACUUUUCUGUACGUGAAAAAUCUAUUUUAAAUAUGUAUUGAUAUCAAUUUCUUUUGCAACGAAAAAAAAAUAUAAAAAAAUUAAAAAUGCAUGAAAAAUUGCAUAUAAAUUUCAUAUAUAACAUUAAAUUAAGAGAAAAAAAAUUUCAUUGUAUUGAAUAUAUCGAAUACAAUCAAUCAAUUCUAUAAAAUUAUAAUGUAGGAAUCAUGUAUGUAAAUUAAUUUAGAUCAAUAUAACUGUUUAUAUAUUUUGAGAGUGCGUUGUUACGCCAAAUGAAAACAAUAUAACAAAAAUGUUACUUCCUUUCUUUUUUGUAAUGUUUGGAGAGGAAACUAUUUAUAGUUACUAUCAUGUUUUUGGAAUCAAUAAUAUCUAUAUAAAUACUGUGCACUUAGAGAAAUAUUAUAUUGAAGUGCGUUUGUUGUUGUUCAAAAUAAUUAUUCGUUGAAGAAGAGAAAAUAUUAAAAAAUAAAUUAUAUAUAUAUACACGUACAUAAGAAAGAAUUAAUAAUUUUUUGUUACUGAGAAACAUUCAUUAUAAAUUUGAUUAUGUUUGCAGUCUAAUAAAAUGCCAUACGAUAAUAAAAAAUGUAAUAUAGCUUUUAUAUUCUUUUUGGCUUGAUAUUAUUAACGAAUUAUUUAUAUUUCUUCGUUAGUACCGUUUUCUAAGAUAAUAAUUCGAUAGCUCAGGUUUUUUGAAAACUAGUCUAAAACAUUUUUGAUAAGUCCUAUUUUUGUAUUCGUGAUGAAUCGAACAAGUCAAAACUUUACAAUUUGAGAUUUGCAAUUUGGUAAAAAUGGUACUAAAAAAUUUGAAUUUUUUCUGUUUAAUAAUUGAUGAUUUCAAUGACCAAUGGAAAGUGAGAAAAAUUAUGAUUUUUAAUUUACAUAUUUUUGGCUGAUAUUUAAAAUUUUAAUAUUGUGCUUUAAAAUAUUUCCAUAAAUAAUUUUUUUUUAAAUUCUUAAAAAUUUAUUUAAUAUUCAAAUUUUGAAGUACAAACAAGCAAAAAAAAUUUGAAGUCUUGAUAAGAAAGACUGAAUUAGAUUUUACUGUACUUAGUAUGGCUCUGAAAAUAAGAAUUGUAAUGUGAGAAUGUCGAUAUUAUUAAAAUAAUAUAUGUAUAUAAUAUGUAUACACAUAAAUAUGUACAUUCAUCAAUAAAAUCAACGAAUAAUA
Molecule: unclassified non-coding RNA, 3861 nt
Filed under: Apis florea (little honeybee)
Lineage: Eukaryota; Metazoa; Arthropoda; Insecta; Hymenoptera; Apidae
Description: mitochondrial carrier protein Rim2, transcript variant X2
Source: RNAcentral